RNAcentral lists this ribosomal RNA (490 nucleotides) under uncultured bacterium. Its description in RNAcentral is "partial 16S ribosomal RNA". It matches the Rfam family "Bacterial small subunit ribosomal RNA", at positions 30 to 505 of the family's 1533-position model. The record is from RNAcentral.
AUUGAACGCUGGCGGCAUGCUUUACACAUGCAAGUCGAACGGUAACAGGCCUUCGGGUGCUGACGAGUGGCGAACGGGUGAGUAAUGCAUCGGAACGUGCCCAGAGGUGGGGGAUAACGCAGCGAAAGCUGUGCUAAUACCGCAUGUGAUCUGAGGAUGAAAGCGGGGGACCAGGCAGCAAUGUUUGGCCUCGCGCCUUUGGAGCGGCCGAUGUCAGAUUAGGUAGUUGGUGGGGUAAAGGCCUACCAAGCCGACGAUCUGUAGCUGGUCUGAGAGGACGACCAGCCACACUGGGACUGAGACACGGCCCAGACUCCUACGAGAGGCAGCAGUGGGGAAUUUUGGACAAUGGGCGCAAGCCUGAUCCAGCAAUGCCGCGUGCGGGAAGAAGGCCUUCGGGUUGUAAACCGCUUUUGUACGGAACGAAAAGGCUCUGGCUAAUACCUGGGGCUGAUGACGGUACCGUAAGAAUAAGCACCGGCUAACUACG